This 426-nucleotide ribosomal RNA is filed under the name uncultured bacterium. RNAcentral's name for it is "bacterial SSU rRNA". It matches the Rfam family "Bacterial small subunit ribosomal RNA", at positions 354 to 796 of the family's 1533-position model. The record is from RNAcentral.
GUGAGGAAUUUUCCGCAAUGGGCGAAAGCCUGACGGAGCAAUGCCGCGUGAAGGAUGAAGGCCUAUGGGUUGUAAACUUCUUUUCUCAGAAAAGAAUUAUGACGGUAUCUGAGGAAUAAGCAUCGGCUAACUCUGUGCCAGCAGCCGCGGUAAGACAGAGGAUGCAAGCGUUAUCCGGAAUGAUUGGGCGUAAAGCGUCUGUAGGUUGUUUAAAAAGUAUUCUGUCAAAGAUUAGGGCUUAACCCUAGAUAGGCAGAAUAAACUUUUAAGCUAGAGUUUGGUAGAGGCAGAGGGAAUUCCCGGUGGAGCGGUGAAAUGCGUAGAUAACGGGAGGAACACCAAAGGCGAAGGCACUCUGCUGGGCCAAUACUAACACUGAGAGACGAAAGCGAGGGGAGCAAAUGGGAUUAGAUACCCUAGUAGUCC